Molecule: long non-coding RNA, 984 nt
Filed under: Portunus trituberculatus (swimming crab)
Lineage: Eukaryota; Metazoa; Arthropoda; Malacostraca; Decapoda; Portunidae
Description: uncharacterized LOC123509056
Source: RNAcentral
ACACACACACCUUGCAGUAACAAAAAGAAACCGAAAAAAAAAAUCAACACAAAACAACUUAAAACAAUACAUUAAGUCACCGCCAAAACAAGAAAAAAAAAAAAGCACCACUUAUUCUUUCCUUUUACUCUCCUUACUUACAAAUUUUAUUAAUUUUACUUAUUUACACUCACGUUUCUCCGCCUCGGCCUCCACCCUGUUGCGUCGCCUCAAGUCACGGGUGAAGUCGGACCUCAGAGUGUUGAUCCACGAGUUAUAGUCACUCCCGACACGGUUCGAAGCCCUACAGUCUCUCUGCUCUUCCCAUCUACACCUGAACCAAGCAAACUCCAACAUCCUUCACCAAACAGGGAGCCAAGCACUAGCAGGGUCUGAACUGUACAGUAGAUGAUGGUAUUCUGUUCUUCUGACUGACGAGAUUCUACCAUGGAACCGUAUAGUGUCGACGUCAUUAACAUAGUUAUGGCGUCGACCGGAAGUAACUGGCCAUUCACGGGACUGUCUAAGUAUGACAUGCAUUGUCUCCUGUACCAAUGGGGUAUCCAUACCUAACGGUCUGAACAAAGAAUAAUUCUUGUCCUUCUAUAUUAAACAAAACGAUUUGCGGAGGAGCGUUACGGCUAGCGGUGACGAAAGUGCCAACAUAUUUCAUGUCCCUUUCACUCUAUUAUUCAUGAUUAUUCAUGCAUUCAGUGUUUGUUUUACAACUAAGCAAGGUCUAUUUCCAUCCACCAAAAUUCUUAAUACAUGGCUUGGUCAGCUACUGCCUGUCGUCCCGACAAGUCUUCUAUAUUACAAUAAAAUUCAUGAAUUCCUAAUAUUAUCUUACAUUUCAUCUUAUUUUAAAUCUCUUCUAUUCUAUUGUAAUAUAAACAUAAAAUUUCAACACUUGAUUAUGUACAGCAUCAUUGGAUAUUUUUGUAGGUAUAUAAGAUACAACGUAUCAUAAUUCAUUGUAUGCAAUACAUUAUCAUGAUCAGUUUA